Molecule: unclassified non-coding RNA, 393 nt
Filed under: soil metagenome
Description: partial contains 5.8S ribosomal RNA, internal transcribed spacer 2, and large subunit ribosomal RNA
Rfam family: 5.8S ribosomal RNA (bases 1-122)
Source: RNAcentral
GAUGAAGAACGUAGCGAAAUGCGAUACUUGGUGUGAAUUGCAGAAUCCCGUGAACCAUCGAGUCUUUGAACGCAAGUUGCGCCCGAAGCCACUAGGCCGAGGGCACGCCUGCCUGGGCGUCACACGUCGUUGCCCCCCCCCCAUCUACUCCUUCGGGAUUGCGGGGGGCGGAUGAUGGCCUCCCGUGCGCCUAGCCGCGCGGUUGGCAUAAAUACCAAGUCCUCGGCGCCGCACGCCACGACAAUCGGUGGUUGCGAAACCUCGGUUGCCCGUCGUGUGCGUUCGUCGCGCAUCGAGGGCUCGAAAAAAUGCUCGGCUCCGGCUCGGCUUUCAACGCGACCCCAGGUCAGGCGGGGUUACCCGCUGAAUUUAAGCAUAUCAAUAAGCGGAGGA